GCUUACGACCACACCGGCCUGAGUACGCCUGAUCUCGUCUGAUCUCGGAAGCUAAGCAGGGUCGGCCUGGGUAGUACUUGGAUGGGAGACCGCCUGGGAAUACAGGUGCUGUAAGAU
Molecule: ribosomal RNA, 117 nt
Filed under: Oncorhynchus kisutch (coho salmon)
Lineage: Eukaryota; Metazoa; Chordata; Actinopteri; Salmoniformes; Salmonidae
Source: RNAcentral